RNAcentral lists this ribosomal RNA (429 nucleotides) under Fusobacteriota bacterium. RNAcentral describes it as "Fusobacteria bacterium partial 16S ribosomal RNA". It matches the Rfam family "Bacterial small subunit ribosomal RNA", at positions 355 to 776 of the family's 1533-position model. The record is from RNAcentral. Lineage: Bacteria; Fusobacteriati; Fusobacteriota.
UGGGGAAUAUUGCGCAAUGGGCGAAAGCCUGACGCAGCGACGCCGCGUGAGGGAUGAAGGUUUUCGGAUCGUAAACCUCUGUCAGAAGGGAAGAAACCGCACUGUGCUAAUCAGCAGUGCCUUGACGGUACCUUCAAAGGAAGCACCGGCCAACUCCGUGCCAGCAGCCGCGGUAAUACGGAGGGUGCAAGCGUUAAUCGGAAUUACUGGGCGUAAAGCGCACGUAGGCUGCUUUGUAAGUCAGGGGUGAAAUCCCACGGCUCAACCGUGGAACUGCCUUUGAUACUGCUUAGCUUGAGUCCGGGAGAGGGUGGCGGAAUUCCAGGUGUAGGAGUGAAAUCCGUAGAUAUCUGGAGGAACAUCAGUGGCGAAGGCGGCCACAUGGACCGGUAUUGACGCUGAGGUGCGAAAGCGUGGGGAGCAAACAGG